This is a long non-coding RNA of Portunus trituberculatus (swimming crab), 318 nucleotides long. RefSeq lists it as uncharacterized. NCBI's taxonomy places the organism in Eukaryota, Metazoa, Arthropoda, Malacostraca, Decapoda, Portunidae. The record is from RefSeq and is a predicted model, not a curated record. The transcript is spliced from 2 exons.
CUUCAUUACUACACGGUAACAUGUACAAUACAAGUGUAUCUAUCAUAGGGAUGAGGAAAUAUACAAGGUGUUUGGGGAGACAAGUACACUGAAUAACACCCAUCUUGGCUAACACACACACACACACACACACACACACACACACACACACACACACACACACACACACAUGUUCACUUAUAGAGAUUAUUUGCAAUUUUGUGACUAAUAUCUGGGUUUUUGGAGAGAGAGAGAGAGAGAGAGAGAGAGAGAGAGAGAGAGAGAGAGAGAGAGAGAGAGAGAGAGAGAGAGAGAGAGAGAGAGAGAGAGAGAGAGAGA